Molecule: ribosomal RNA, 461 nt
Filed under: uncultured bacterium
Lineage: Bacteria
Description: bacterial SSU rRNA
Rfam family: Bacterial small subunit ribosomal RNA
Source: RNAcentral
UACGGGAGGCAGCAGUGGGGAAUAUUGCACAAUGGGCGAAAGCCUGAUGCAGCUAUGCCGCGUGUAUGAAGAAGGCCUUAGGGUUGUAAAGUACUUUCAUCGGGGAGGAAAAACAAAACUAAUAAUUUUAUUUCUUGACGUUACCCGAAAAAGAAGCACCGGCUAACUCCGUGCCAGCAGCCGCGGUAAUACGGAGGGUGCUAGCGUUAAUCAGAAUUACUGGGCGUAAAGAGCACGUAGGUGGUUUUUUUAAGUCAGAUGUUGAAAUCCCUGGGCUUAACCUAGGAACUGCAUUUUGAAACUGAAAUACUAGAGUAUCGUAGAGGGAGGUAGAAUUCGUAGGUGUAGCGGUGAAAUGCGUAGAUAUCUGGAGGAAUACCUGUGGCGAAAGCGGCCUCCUAAACGAAUACUGACACUGAGGUGCGAAAGCGUGGGGAGCGAAACAGGGAUUAGAUACCCGU